UUGACAUGUCCGGAAUCCCGAAGAGAUUCGGGAGUGCUCGCAAGAGAACCGGAACACAGGUGCUGCAUGGCUGUCGUCAGCUCGUGUCGUGAGAUGUUGGGUUAAGUCCCGCAACGAGCGCAACCCUUGUCAUUAGUUGCCAUCAUUUGGUUGGGCACUCUAAUGAGACUGCCGGUGACAAACCGGGAGGAAGGUGGGGAUGACGUCAAGUCCUCAUGGCCCUUAUGGGUAGGGCUUCACACGUCAUACAAUGGUCGGUACAGAGGGUUGCCAACCCGCGAGGGGGAGCUAAUCCCACAAAGCCGAUCGUAGUCCGGAUCGCAGUCUGCAACUCGACUGCGUGAAGUCGGAAUCGCUAGUAAUCGUGGAUCAGAAUGUCACGGUGAAUACGUUCCCGGGUCUU
RNAcentral lists this ribosomal RNA (403 nucleotides) under uncultured Rhodocyclaceae bacterium. Its description in RNAcentral is "bacterial SSU rRNA". It matches the Rfam family "Bacterial small subunit ribosomal RNA", at positions 981 to 1382 of the family's 1533-position model. Lineage: Bacteria; Pseudomonadati; Pseudomonadota; Betaproteobacteria; Rhodocyclales; Rhodocyclaceae. The record is from RNAcentral.